AUGGUAAAAUGGUAUGGCUGAUGGCUUUUGAUUCAUGCAUACAUUGGAUUUAAAUGAGGCAGAGAUGCACAAAGUCGUCAUCCUCACUCUUUCUUUCAGAGUCCUCACAUCCUAGUGGCAGGACAGAGACAAGAUGACUGGUUAUAGCUCAAGACACAGUGAGUGACUUUGAUGUGUUUGAUGUCUAACCAAGCUUGAAGUGCUCAACAAUGCCUGUUGCAGCUGCCAUUGUGGAACACAUUGUUCUCAUCUGCCCAUUCUUCCAGGAGAAGUUUUACACCCCCUAACUCAUCAGAUACAAAUAGACAAUUCUCAGAUGAAGAAAUUAAAACUAUUUAUAGACAUAUGAAAAUAUGCUCCAAAUCAUUAUUAAUCAGGCAAAUGCAAAUUAAGACAACUCUGAGAUACCACUACACACCUGUCAGAUUGGCUAAGAUGGCAGGAAAAAAUAAUGAUGAAUGUUGGAGGAGAUGCGGGAAAACUAGGACACUGGUGCAUUGUAUUUGCCUUGUCCAUCAGAGAGAAAAGUAGAAAAACCUCAAAACAAAGGAGAAGAUUUAAGAAACAUCUGACACUGAAAGAACAUGGCUGACAAUGAACUUUAAAAUCUUCAGGAAUCACUGGAUUCUCUAACACAGGAUGAGACUGUUUCAGUUCUUGAAAAUCAGCAGGAAUCAUUGGAUUCUUUGAGAUGAAAAAUUGUUGAUGAGACUAUUGCAGAACUUCAAAACUUGCAGGAAUUAUUGGAUUCCUGGCACAUGAACAAAUGGACAAUAGAUUUCUUUUGGACUAUUUCUAGGACUUAUGGACAUGUAUAAAUUCUUCAUGUUGAUUCAUGUUAUUUGUUACAUCACUUCUGGCAUGUGUUAUAUUGCUAUGUGCUUAUGUAAUUUAUGUAAUUAUAUGUAAUACCUCCCAUAUUGAUGGAUUUAUGUAUACCUGUUUCAAAUGAGCCCCUUCAAAAACCUGCUAAUCUGAUUUGAUUUCCCAUUUCCUUUGGUGUUUUCAUAUCCCUUCCUGAGGAGUCAGAGAAGGUGUGAUCACCUUCUUUUUUGGGGUUCUCACCUCCUUGAGAAGCCAGGGAAGUCACAACCACCUUAUAUUCUAAAAUCAAAAGAAAGCAGGAGAUAUUAGAAUCCUUACAAGGUGUUAGGUCACUAGAGAUGAUAGAAACAAUGCUUAUGUAAUUGGUUCACACCUUUGGAGUUCACACCUUUGGGAGAGUUCACACAUUAGAGCUCACACAUUUAAGAGAGUUUACACAUUAGAGGUCACACUUUAGCGUUCACACUUUUAGAGAGCUUAUAUAAGCUAGAAGCCUCCAGGAAGAGAAGGAGACUUCAGGAGAUUCACAAAUCAGGAGUCAGUUUAGGAGAGUGAGAGAGCCAGAAUUCAGUUGGGAGAUUCAGAGCCAGGAUUCAGAGGGAGCUGGAGGCUGAAGCUAAAGCUGGAAGAGAAAAAGGACUAGUGGCAAGAGCUCUCGGAAUCUAAGAAAACUAACCGGGCUAUUUUGGAAGAGAUAAUAAAGGACUGAACUUUUAACAGCUGGCUGUAUUUGAGGUGAUUAUUGAUCUGAACUGAAACUAAGGCUGCCUCCAGAAGGACCCCAAGAAAUCUGCUCCUAGAGAAUGAUUAUAUAUUAGAAAAGAAGAACACUACAGUGGAGUUGUGAAUGAAUCCAACCAUUCUGGAGAGGAAUCUGGAAUUAUGCCCCAAAGUUAUCAAACUCUGCAUCCUCUUUGAUCCAGCAGUGUUACUACUGGGCUUAUAUCCCAAAGAGAUACUAAAGAAGGGAAAGGGAACUGUAUGUGCAAGAUGUUUGUGGCAGCCCUGUUUGUAGUGGCUAGAAACUGGAAAAUGAAUGGAUGAUUAUUAAUUGGAGAAUGGUUGGGUAAAUUGUGGUAUAUGAAUGUUAUGAAAUGUUGUUCUGUAAGAAAUGACCAGCUGAGAAACUGGAAAUUGAAUGGAUGCCCAUCAAUUGGAGAAUGGCUGGGUAAAUUGUGGUAUAUGAAUGUUAUGGAAUAUUAUUGUUCUGUAAGAAAUGACUAGCAGGAUGAAUAGAGAGAGGCUUGGAGAGACUUACAUGAACUGAUGCUAAGUGAAAUGAGCAGAACCAGGAGAUCAUUAUACACUUCAACAAUGAUACUGUAUGAGGAUGUAUUCUGAUGGAAGUAGAUUUCUUUGACAAAGAGACCUAACUUAGUUUCAAUUGAUAAAUGAUGGACAGAAGCAGCUAUACCCAAAGAAAGAACACUGGGAAAUGAAUGUAAACUAUUUGCAUUUUUGUUUUUCUUCCCGGGUUAUUUUUACCUUCUGAAUCCAACUCUCCCUGUGCAACAAGAGAACUGUUCGGUUCUGCAAACAUAUAUUGUAUCUAGGAUAUACUGCAACAUAUCUAACAUAUAUAGGACUGCUUGCCAUCUAGGGGAGGGGGGGAAAGGAAGGAGGGGAAAAAUCGGAAUAGAAGCGAGUGCAAGGGAUAAUGUAAAAAAAUUACCCUGGCAUGGGUUCUGUCAAUAAAAAGUUAUUAUAAAAUAAAAGAAAAAAGAAAUGACCAGCUGGAUGAAUACAGAGAGGCUUGGAGAGACUUACAUGAACUGAUGCUGAGUGAAAUGAGCAGAACCAGGAAGUCAUUAUAUUCUUCAACAACAAUACUGUGUGAGGAUGUUCUGAUGGAAGUGGAUUUCUUUGACAAAGAGAAGAUCCAAUUCAGUUCCAGUUGAUCAAUGAUGGACAGAAUCAGCUACACCCAGAGAAGGAACACUGGGAAAUGAAUAUGGACUACUUGCAUUUUUGUUUUUCUUUCCAGGUUAUUUUUACCUUCUGAAUCCAACUCUUCUUGUGCAACAAGAGAAUUGUAUGGUUCUGCACACAUAUAUUGUAUCUAGGAUAUACUAUAACAUAUUUAACAUGUAUAAAACUACCUGCCAUCUAGGGGAGGCGGGGAGGGAGGGAAGGGAAAAGUCGGAACAGAAGUGAGUGCAAGGGAUAAUGUAUAAUUUUUUACAUUACCUAUGCAUAUGUUCUGUCAAUAAAAAGUUAUUAAAAAAGGAAA
Antechinus flavipes (yellow-footed antechinus) is the source of this 3055-nucleotide long non-coding RNA. RefSeq lists it as uncharacterized. The transcript has 2 exons. Lineage: Eukaryota; Metazoa; Chordata; Mammalia; Dasyuromorphia; Dasyuridae. The record is from RefSeq and is a predicted model, not a curated record.